RNAcentral lists this long non-coding RNA (1283 nucleotides) under Heterocephalus glaber (naked mole-rat). RNAcentral's name for it is "lncRNA (ENSHGLG00100036402.1)". The record is from RNAcentral. Lineage: Eukaryota; Metazoa; Chordata; Mammalia; Rodentia; Bathyergidae.
UGGACCUUUAGAGUUAUUUAUCUACAUGCCCAACCUGGCAGCCUAAGCACAUCUCAGAGGCUGCAGGCCAUGUUUAUAAAGGAACCGGGCAGCUGAAGCAUGGACUGUAAGGUGAGUGACUAAGGAAGAGAGACUGAGGCAGAGACUUUUGGAAUGUUGAGAUAGGAGAACAUGUAGGUGAGAAUUGUGAUGGAAAUAGAGAAAAGGGGGAAAUGCAGGAUUUAACAGAAAGAGGUUAUAAGACUCAGAGAGUUAAUAGGAAUCAAAGGAAAGGGUGGAGAUGGAAACCAAUGUUCUUGGGUGCUGGCUUGGUGCUAACCAUUUGCCCCUAGGAUCUCAUUUAUAUCUCAUAAGAUUCCUCUGAGUUAGGCAUUAUUUCUCCCAUUUUACUAGGGAAGAAGUUUAGAAAGGUUGAUUCACUUGCCCAAAAUUGUAUGAUGGACAGUUAGUUGAGUCUUUUUUUUUCCCCCAGAAUCUGCCUGACUCCUAAACCUGUACUCUCUUCUUACCAAGAAAGCCUUAAGGUUUCUAGUUUGGGAGACUACAAAGCUGAUUUUACUAUGAGCAGAGAGAGCAGCACUGAUAGAUGGAGAUGAAGAAAAUGGUCCCUUCUGUUUGAAUAUGCUGAGUUUGAGAUGAAGAGCUGGUUAAUUAUCAAUUUUUGUGAGAAAGGAAGGCUGUCCUCAUCUUUUGAAAGUCCUCCGAGCACAGCAGGCUAUGCAUGGUACGCCUCCAGUUUGUGAAAACAUCGGCAUCUGGAUGAACCCGACGAGUCAUCUGUGCCUUCUGCAUUGUGUCUCUGUGUGCCCUAAAACAGCACAAGCCAGCUGAACAUGUUCAGGUUUCAUCCCAUAGGACUUGGAAGACAGAACAGAGCAGAAGUCCCCUUUGACAACUUUUGGCUACUUUCUGCUGAGGGCUGAGGCCCCCAGCCUCCUGGUAUCCAGGGCACUGGCAGGAGUGGCAGCUGCACCUUCCAGUCCCCAGGAUCUCAGUUGUGAUGGUUCAUUCUAGAACUGAGGGGCUCAAGAGAUCCCUGCAUGGGCUGAAGGAGCAGGCUCCAGGCUGGGCUUUGGAGAUCAAGUCCCAGAACUCCACCACUGCUCAUUUCUUCUGCGAAGCUGCUCCCUCUGCCAUGGUCAGUAGGUAUGGGAGAGCAGGAGCUGUCAUUGGGCUUGCUGAAUUCACAGCUACAACCAAGGAUGGAAAAGCUACUACCAAACACCCACGAAGAUACUGGCCAGACCCACAUCCCUGCUGAUGAGCUUGUGCCACAUUUCUAG